This 327-nucleotide ribosomal RNA is filed under the name uncultured eukaryote. RNAcentral describes it as "partial 18S ribosomal RNA". It matches the Rfam family "Eukaryotic small subunit ribosomal RNA", at positions 1470 to 1796 of the family's 1831-position model. The record is from RNAcentral.
CCCUUAGAUGUUCUGGGCUGCACGCGCGCUACACUGAAGCGUUCAACGAGUAUUCACCUUGCCCGGGAGGGUUGGGUAAUCUUUUGAAAACGCUUCGUGAUGGGGAUAGAUUAUUGCAAUUAUUAAUCUUCAACGAGGAAUUCCUAGUAAGCGCGAGUCAUCAGCUCGUGCUGAUUACGUCCCUGCCCUUUGUACACACCGCCCGUCGCUACUACCGAUUGGACGUUUUAGUGAGGAUUUUGGACUGAGCCAAUGGUGGUUCACACCACUGUUGUGCAUGGAAAGAUCUCCAAACUUGAGCGUUUAGAGGAAGUAAAAGUCGUAACA